RNAcentral lists this ribosomal RNA (482 nucleotides) under uncultured bacterium. Its description in RNAcentral is "partial 16S ribosomal RNA". It matches the Rfam family "Bacterial small subunit ribosomal RNA", at positions 30 to 507 of the family's 1533-position model. The record is from RNAcentral.
AUUGAACGCUGGCGGCAUGCCUUACACAUGCAAGUCGAACGGUAACGGGCCUUCGGGUGCCGACGAGUGGCGAACGGGUGAGUAAUACAUCGGAACGUGCCCGAUCGUGGGGGAUAACGAGGCGAAAGCUUUGCUAAUACCGCAUACGAUCUACGGAUGAAAGCAGGGGACCGCAAGGCCUUGCGCGGACGGAGCGGCCGAUGGCAGAUUAGGUAGUUGGUGGGAUAAAAGCUUACCAAGCCGACGAUCUGUAGCUGGUCUGAGAGGAUGAUCAGCCACACUGGGACUGAGACGCGGCCCAGACUCCUACGGGAGGCAGCAGUGGGGAAUUUUGGACAAUGGGCGCAAGCCUGAUCCAGCCAUGCCGCGUGCAGGAUGAAGGCCUUCGGGUUGUAAACUGCUUCUGUACGGAACGAAAAGCCUUCUUUUAAUACAGGAGGGUCAUGACGGUACCGUAAGAAUAAGCACCGGCUAACUACGUG